This 274-nucleotide ribosomal RNA is filed under the name uncultured bacterium. RNAcentral describes it as "partial 16S ribosomal RNA". It matches the Rfam family "Bacterial small subunit ribosomal RNA", at positions 523 to 796 of the family's 1533-position model. The record is from RNAcentral.
AUACGGAGGGGACUAGCGUUGUUCGGAAUUACUGGGCGUAAAGAGUUCGUAGGCGGACUGAUAAGUAAGAGGAGAAAUCCCAGGGCUCAACCCUGGAACUGCCUUUUAAACUGUCAGUCUAGAGACCGGAAGAGGUUAGGGGAAUACCUAGUGUAGAGGUGAAAUUCGUAGAUAUUAGGUGGAACACCAGUGGCGAAGGCGCCUAACUGGUCCGGUACUGACGCUGAGGAACGAAAGCGUGGGGAGCAAACAGGAUAGAAACCCCUAGUAGUCC